UACGUAGGGGGCUAGCGUUGUCCGGAAUCAUUGGGCGUAAAGAGCGCGUAGGCGGCCAGAUAAGUCCGGUGUGAAAGUCAAAGGCUCAACCUUUGAAUGCCGCUGGAAACUGUCUGGCUAGAGUCCGGGAGGGGCGAGUGGAAUUCCUGGUGUAGCGGUGAAAUGCGCAGAUAUCAGGAGGAACACCAAUGGCGAAGGCAGCUCGCUGGAACGGUACUGACGCUGAGGCGCGAAAGCGUGUGGAGCAAACAGG
This 253-nucleotide ribosomal RNA is filed under the name uncultured bacterium. RNAcentral's name for it is "partial 16S ribosomal RNA". It matches the Rfam family "Bacterial small subunit ribosomal RNA", at positions 524 to 776 of the family's 1533-position model. The record is from RNAcentral.